UCCAAGCAAAAAAUUUAUCCUCAUUCAAAAGUCAUGUAAGAACCUCACUGGCUUACGGAAUGUUGAUGUUAUUUAAAAAAAUUCAUACAAAAAUAUGACCUCAUUCAAAAAUGUCAUGUGACAACCUCAUGGCUUAUGGAAUUCUGAUGUCACGGGCUUCUAAAGCUUUGAUCCUUUGAAGCUUUGAUCCUCAAAAUCCUUAAAUAGGGGUGAGGAUGUACAACUUUUAGUCCGUUAUUUGCAGCACUUAUGUCAGCAGCGUUCAAACAUUCACCAGUAAAGCAUUUCGAAACCUUUGGAUCCUUUUCGUAGUCACGGUAAACAGACUCCAACAUGUCUCCGAAAAAGCAAGAAAGACAAGAAGCUGACCCCAGCUCUAUUCCAUGGUAUGAGUCCCUAGACCCUUAUAUGAGCUCUCUACCUUGGGAUGAACAGGUAGAAUUAGAGGAACAGCGAUUGGAAGAAAUGCAGAAUGAAAAUCUCAUGAACAGAGAGAAGAUUAAGAUCCUGACGGAAGAAAAUGAGAGAAAGAGCUGAAUUAGAAAAAUUAUCCUACCAGCUUCAAGAAAAAGAAGGUAUUGAGGAGAAACAAUGGGCUCUCCAAGAUAAGAAGAAUCAGGUGCUCCAAGAAAAGCUGGAUGACGCUCUGGAAAAAAUUAAAGAUCUGCUCCAAAAGGAGAAAAAAGAGAGCAUAAAACAGGAAACCAUGGUCAGGAAGAAUCAGGAGCUCCAAGAAGAGCUUGAUGAAGCUCUGGAGAAACUUAGAGAAAUCCACCAAGAAGAGAAACAACAGGCCGAGCAGAGAGACAUGCAGCGCAAACUCCAAGCCAUGGAGGAAAAAUACAAAGCGCUGCAGGUAAAGCAUGACAAAACUCUGCACAAAAAUCAACAGUUGCUUCAAGACAAGAAGCAAAUGGAAAUGAAACAGAAGGAAAUGGACUCCAAGCAUGACGAGAUGGAGGAAAAACACAGACUGCUCCAAAUCAAGCUUGAGAAAACAGUGCACAGAAAUAAAGAGUUCAUUGAAGAGAGAGAGCAACAAGAAAUCCUCGAGAAAGAAACGGACUCCAAGUUUGAAGUCUUGGAAGAAAAACUGAAAAUGCUGCAAAUAACUCUUGAGGAAACACUGCUCAAAAAUACAGAGAUGCUUCACGAGAAUGACCAACAAAAAAUACAAAAGGAAGAAAUGGAUUGCAAGCUGAGGAACAUCGAGAAACAAAAUAGAGGCUUGCAAGUAAUGCUUGAUGAAGCUCUGGAAAGAAAUAAAGAGUUGCUUCACGACAAAGACCAACAGAAAAUACAUCAGCAAGAAAUGGAGUGCAAGCUGAGGAACAUCGAGAAACAAAAUGAAGGCUUGCAAGUUAUGCUUGAUGAAGCUCUGGAGAGAAAUAAAGAGAUUCUCCAAGACAAGAAACAACAGCCCGAAGAGCAGAGAGACCUGCAGAGCAAACUCCAAGCCAUGGAGGAAAAAUACAAAGCUCUGCAGGUGAAACAUGAUAAAACUCUGCACAAAAAUCAACAGUUGGUUAAAGACAAGAAGCAAAUGGAUAUGAAGCAGAAGGAAAUGGACUCCAAGCUUGAUGAGAUGGAGGAAAAACACAGACUGCUCCAAAUCAAGCUCGAUAAAAAAGUGCACAGAAAUAAGGAGUUCAUUGAAGAGAGAGAGCAACAAGAAAUGCUCGAGAAAGAAAUGGACCGCAAGUUUGAAGUCUUGGAGGAAAAAUGCAAAAUGCUCCAAAUAACUCUUGAGGAAACACUCCUCAAAAAUAAAGAGCUGCUUCAAGAAAAAGACCAACAGAAAAUACAACAGGAAGAAGAAAAAUUUUUUCUCCAGAAGAAAUAUCUAGCACUCCAAGAAUUGUAUAACGAAACGAGGUACAAAACAUCUGUACUGGAAGGAGAAAAGAAAAAAAUGGAAAAACAGUGCUCAGCGAUGCAGAGUAGCAUCAAUGAAAUGCUGAGAAAAAAUACCGAACUUGAAGAACUUUCUAAGACCUUGAAGUCCAAAAACACUGAAAUCCAGGCGCAAAAGCAAGAACAACAGAAAACACAUAAAGACCUGCAGUGUAGACUUCAAGAAAUCCAGAAGAGAAACCAGCAGCUGGAAGACAUGCACACAGAUGUGCACAAGGCAAAGCGAAUAGAGGAGGCAACAGUUAAAGAACUGCAAGACAAGCUUAAAGAAAAACAAGAACAAUUAGAAGACAUGGUGAAAAGAUGCAGCAAACUUGAGAAAGAAAACACAGAAACAAUGGAUGAGCUGAAAACCCUCAUCCUUGAGAAAAAAGUGCUGGUGGAACAUUGUCUGAAAAAGAAGAGAAAACGUUUCCACUGGUUCUGGAGAAGGGACACUGCUGCUUCUCACCUGAUGUAACCAUGUCUUCCUCCACCUCUAUUCCAACUUAAUUUUCCCCCUUCCCCUUCCCCUUCCCCUCCCCCUCCCUCCUUUUUCUUUUUUCACCCUCACCCCCCGACCAGUCCCGGCAGUUGACUGCCCCCUCCUGAGCCUGGUUCUGCCAUAGGUUUCUCCUUUAAGUGUCUUUCACUUUAAAAGGAGUUUUUCCUAUCCACUGUCGCCUGGUGCUUGCUCAGAGGGGAUUGUUGGGGUUUUCUCUCUUCUCUCUCUUUCCUUCUUUUUAUUCCUCUUUUUACCUCUUUUCCCCCCUUCUACCUUUUUUUUUUACCCAAUAAACACAAUUGGCAAUUACAUGUGUUUGAAAAAUGUCUUCAUUCAACAAUAAUUCAUCUUAGGUAUAAAAACAAGAAAUGGGUAAUAGCUGCAUGUGUGUUUGUGUGUCUGCAUAAUAUACAUAUUUGUAUCCCAGAAGGAAUUAAUACUAGAUGGGUAGAGAGGUUUUAAAGACUAGAAAUGAAAACAUGUG
This is a long non-coding RNA of Oreochromis aureus, 2882 nucleotides long. Lineage: Eukaryota; Metazoa; Chordata; Actinopteri; Cichliformes; Cichlidae. The record is from Ensembl.